UACGUAGGGGGCAAGCGUUGUCCGGAUUUAUUGGGCGUAAAGAGCGUGUAGGCGGUUAGGUAGGUCCGUUGUGAAAACUCGAGGCUCAACCUCGAGACGCCGAUGGAAACCAUCUGACUAGAGUCCGGAAGAGGAGAGUGGAAUUCCUGGUGUAGCGGUGAAAUGCGUAGAGAUCAGGAAGAACAUCGGUGGCGAAGGCGCUCUGCUGGACCAUAACUGACACUCAGGGACGAAAGCUAGGGGAGCGAAUGGG
Molecule: ribosomal RNA, 253 nt
Filed under: uncultured bacterium
Lineage: Bacteria
Description: partial 16S ribosomal RNA
Rfam family: Bacterial small subunit ribosomal RNA
Source: RNAcentral